RNAcentral lists this ribosomal RNA (275 nucleotides) under uncultured bacterium. Its description in RNAcentral is "partial 16S ribosomal RNA". It matches the Rfam family "Bacterial small subunit ribosomal RNA", at positions 399 to 691 of the family's 1533-position model. The record is from RNAcentral.
GCGUGAGUGAUGAAGGCCUUAGGGUUGUAAAGCUCUUUCAGUAGGGAAGAUAAUGACGGUACCUACAGAAGAAGCCCCGGCUAACUUCGUGCCAGCAGCCGCGGUAAUACGAAGGGGGCUAGCGUUGUUCGGAUUUACUGGGCGUAAAGCGCACGUAGGCGGAUCGUUAAGUCGGGGGUGAAAUCCUGGAGCUCAACUCCAGAACUGCCUUCGAUACUGGCGAUCUUGAGUCCGGAAGAGGUGAGUGGAACUCCUAGUGUAGAGGUGGAAUUCGU